GCCGAAAUAGCUCAGUUGGGAGAGCGUUAGACUGAAGAUCUAAGGUCCCUGGUCGAUCCCGGGUUUCGGCA
RNAcentral lists this transfer RNA (71 nucleotides) under Rhipicephalus sanguineus (brown dog tick). RNAcentral describes it as "transfer RNA phenylalanine (anticodon GAA)". It matches the Rfam family "tRNA". Rfam says of the family: Transfer RNA (tRNA) molecules are approximately 80 nucleotides in length. Their secondary structure includes four short double-helical elements and three loops (D, anti-codon, and T loops). The record is from Rfam by way of RNAcentral. Lineage: Eukaryota; Metazoa; Arthropoda; Arachnida; Ixodida; Ixodidae.